GACUAACGCUGGCGGCGUGCUUAAUACAUGCAAGUCGAACGCACCGCAAGGUGAGUGGCGGACGGGUGAGUAACGCGUGAGUAAUCUGCCCUUGACUGGGGAAUAACGUCUGGAAACAGACGCUAAUACCGCAUAUGACCACAGAGCGGCAUCGCUCGGAGGUGAAAGAUUUAUCGGUCAAGGAGGAGCUCGCGUACUAUUAGCUUGUUGGUGGGGUAACGGCCUACCAAGGCGACGAUAGUUAACCGGCCUGAGAGGGUGAACGGUCACACCGGAACUGAGACACGGUCCGGACUCCUACGGGAGGCAGCAGUAAGGAAUAUUGGGCAAUGGAGGCAACUCUGACCCAGCAACGCCGCGUGAAUGAAGAAGGUUUUCGGAUUGUAAAGUUCUUUUUUCCCUGAAGAAUAAAAUGACGGUAAGGGAUGAAUAAAAGCCCCGGCAAACUACGUGCCAGCAGCCGCGGUAAUACGUAGGGGGCAAGCGUUGUCCGGAAUGACUGGGCGUAAAGGGUGUGUAGGCGGUUCUGCACGUCUUAUGUGAAAGCCUUGGGCUCAACCCAAGAAUUGCAUAAGAUACGGCAGGACUAGAGUGUGGGAGAGGAUUGUGGAAUUCCUAGUGUAGCGGUAGAAUGCGUAGAUAUUAGGAGGAACAUCAGAGGCGAAGGCGGCAAUCCGGAACAUAACUGACGCUGAAACACGAAAGCGUGGGGAGCAAACAGGAUUAGAUACCCUGGUAGUCCACGCCAUAAACGAUGAAUACUGGAUGUUGCGGGUAUCGACUCCCGCAGUAUCGUAGCUAACGCGUUAAGUAUUCCGCCUGUGUAGUACGGCCGCAAGGUUGAAACACAAAGAAAUUGACGGGGACCCGCACAAGCAGCGGAGCAUGUGGUUUAAUUCGAAGAUACGCGAAAAACCUUACCAAGACUUGACAUCGCCUGCAUAGCCGCGAAAUCGGUGAAAUAGGAGCAAUUCUACAGGUAGACAGAUGGUGCAUGGUUGUCGUCAGCUCGUGUCGUGAGAUGUUCGGUUAAGUCCGAUAACGAGCGCAACCCCUGUUUUCAGUUACCAGCAUUAAGUUGGGCACUCUGGAGAGACUGCCGUAGAUAAUACGGAGGAAGGCGGGGAUGACGUCAAAUCAUCAUGCCUCUUACGUCUUGGGCUACACACGUGCUACAAUGGCCGCCACAAACAGCUGCAAUCCCGCAAGGGGGAGCCAAUCUGAAAAAAGCGGUCUCAAUUCGGAUUGUGGGCUGAAACCCGCCCACAUGAAGUCGGAGUUGCUAGUAAUCCCAAAUCAGCAUGUUGGGGUGAAUGCGUUCCCGGGUC
This 1328-nucleotide ribosomal RNA is filed under the name uncultured bacterium. RNAcentral describes it as "bacterial SSU rRNA". It matches the Rfam family "Bacterial small subunit ribosomal RNA", at positions 28 to 1380 of the family's 1533-position model. The record is from RNAcentral.